This 254-nucleotide unclassified non-coding RNA is filed under the name plant metagenome. RNAcentral describes it as "partial contains small subunit ribosomal RNA, internal transcribed spacer 1, and 5.8S ribosomal RNA". The record is from RNAcentral.
UUUCCGUAGGUGAACCUGCGGAAGGAUCAUUACUGAGUGAGGGCCCCUCGGGGUCCAACCUCCCACCCGUGUUUAACGAACCUUGUUGCUUCGGCGGGCCCGCCUCACGGCCGCCGGGGGGCAUUUGCCCCCGGGCCCGCGCCCGCCGAAGCCACCUGUGAACGCUGUCUGAAGUAUGCAGUCUGAGACAAUUAUUAAAUUAAUUAAAACUUUCAACAACGGAUCUCUUGGUUCCGGCAUCGAUGAAACGCAGC